UGUACCUUUUCACCAAGGGACCAUAUUGUACCUAUGGGUACAAAAAGCCCAUGGACUGUCACUCAGAAGUUGAUAGGGGAGGAGAUUCGGGAGCAACCGUUAUUUUUUCGUCUCACUCAAAGUAAUGGAGGAGCAGUUUUCAGCAGAGGAGCUUGGUGUGGGGAAACGUGCUGUGGUGCUGGCAUAAUCUUUAUGGAACAGGAGGCAACGCUAUUCAGAGAUAACCACCAAGGCAGAAUGUUGGCGUGUGGAAGUACCUCUACUCAGAGUGAUAGAGAAAACUAUGGCUCUGCUUUUACUGAAGGAAUGGCUACCGGAGCGGGCAGCUUUAUGAAUAUAAGUUGAAAAGGAUGUAUGGAGAAGUUUUGGGAGAGUCAGACAGUCCACGGAACUUGCAAUGACUUAGCAAUGAUCUAUGCCAGACGUACAACCCCUGCUGUCAUUGGUGAUACCACUGCUUGAAAAUAUGUCAACGUCCUGUAGAUCAAGUAAGGUUCCAGUCGAAGUCCUCCUGAAGA
Molecule: long non-coding RNA, 518 nt
Organism: Sardina pilchardus (European sardine)
Lineage: Eukaryota; Metazoa; Chordata; Actinopteri; Clupeiformes; Clupeidae
Exons: 4
Source: RefSeq, a predicted model, not a curated record